Molecule: long non-coding RNA, 2946 nt
Organism: Carassius carassius (crucian carp)
Lineage: Eukaryota; Metazoa; Chordata; Actinopteri; Cypriniformes; Cyprinidae
Exons: 2
Source: RefSeq, a predicted model, not a curated record
UGGAUAUUCUAUAACUUUUUAUUUGGCCUCUGUCCCAACUUUUUUGGAGUGUGUUGCAGUCAUCAAAAUCUAAAUUUGUUCAUAUUCAAAAAAUACAUUUACGUUGGUCAGUGAAAAUUUUGGAAAUCUUUUCUUUGUACUUUUGUCAAUUAAAAAAAAGUUAAAAGAGAAUUGAAAAAGCACAGAUUCUUGAUAUUAUUGAAUUUUACAAAAAUUCCCAACUUUUCUGGAAUUGGGUUUGUAUUAGUCAGGAAGUCGGAAGAAAGUAUUCAAAACUUUUUGUUGUUGUUUUGUUUUACUUUUUUUGACAUUGAUGUGCAAUAUUUUUAUUUGUUGUAAAUGACUGCAUUCCUUAUUUUUAUGCACAGAAAACCUUCCUUUUUGUCUUAAACAUCUGUAUAUGAAAUAAUAUUGCUAAUUAAAUAUGCUUAUAUUGGUAGCAUUUUCUUUUGAACAUUUAUACUUGAAAAACAUUGUGUGAAGAAAUUUUUAAGGUAAUAUAAAUGUUGUGUUGACAUUUAUGGAUGAAUUUGGAUUUGAAGAAUUAAAUUCUGAGAUCUCAUUUAUCUUUUUUUUUUUACCUCAUUAUGAAGUUGAGUCAUUACAGCCUUUAUCAACUAAAUGUUUAAUUCAUGUGUGCUACUUUUUCACUCAAGAACAGAAUGUGUCUUAACAGAACUGUAUUCACUCAGUUUUAGUACAGAGCAUCUCAUCAUGAACUGAUUCGAAACCAGAGACUCUCAGACAGAAUUUUAGUACUAUUUGUGCAAGAACUGACUGGUGUUUGUCCGUCAGCAUGCUUUAGCAGAUGUCCAUUGUUACUUACUAUUAGAGACGGUCUGCAGUCUGGUAAAUAUCACUAUAUAUGUGCUAUAUAUUUUGCACUUAUAUAAAAUACUAUAUAUUUUGCAUCUGAAGAAAAAAACAGCCAGUCUAUCAAAUGAGCAUAAAAUGUCUUACAAAAAGCUUAUUGCUAUGAAUUACUGACAACUUUCUCCCAUUUUACCAUCAAGUGUACUUGAGUGUUGCUUGGAGUUUAUUUUUGAGAGCACACUCAUUUGCAAAGGAAUCUUUUGCCAACAAAUAAAUGAUAAAUGUAGAUUAAAUCACAAUAUUCUGACAUUACUACAGUGUUAAAUCUGUAUUAAUAGUGGAAAUAUUGUGAUAAAACAUACUGCUGUGCAAUGACUGUACUUGAUGGCAUUAUGUCUUUUGGAGACGUUAGCAAACUCCUUGUAAUCGUUCCGAUAGCAAGAAAACGUCUUAUUGCUUGAAAUGUGUAUUUCUCCCCCAAACUACAGUCUGACCUCAUUAUCACGGUGUUCUGUUACUAAUGGAAUCAAAAGUCAUUGACACACAGGAAGGGCCUCAUGUUUCAUUGCUUUUUGCUUUAUGUGAAGCAUGGUCUUUUUGUAUGCUUUGCUAUUUAUUCUUGUAGUGAGUGUGAUGUGUGAUUACAGAUGACUUCAUUAUAAAAUAAAACCAGCUAGACACUUUCAUAUAUUAUAUUAUAUUUAUUUACAUAUAGCAUACUAUAUACAGUAUUUCCAGUGAAUAUAUACCAUGUGUACAAUAAUGAAGGUAAAUUGUGCAAAAGUCUUUUACACCACUAUUUCAUAUUUGCUUUAAAGGAGUAGUUCGCCCAAAAAUGAAAAUUUGCUGAAGAUUUGCUCAACCAGAGGCCAUCCAAGAUGUUAAUGUGUUUGUUUCUUUAUGGGACUAGGUUUAGAGAAAUUUAGCAUUACAUCACUUGCUGACCAGUGGAUCCUCUGCAGUGAAUGGGUGCCGUCAGAAUGAGAGUACAAAAAGCUGAUAAAAACAUCACAAUAAUCUACAGAUAAUGCACAUAAAUUCCAGUCUGUCAAUGAAUGUCUUUUGAAGUAAAAAAAAUUGUUUUUGUAAUCAACAAAUUCACAGUUCAGAAAACGUUCACCCCUGUUGUCAUUAAUUCUAUUAUUAUUUGUUAAGAACUGUUUUGGCUCGUAAACAGUGCUUGAUUUGUGCAUAUUUCUCUCCUGAUUCAGAUGAGAUGUCUGUUUUUCAACAGAGAAAGCAAUAUUAUGGAUAGAGGACUUGAUUGAAGUUAAAAACAUCUUGAUGAAUUGAUUUCUUACAAACACUUCACUUUUCCACUUUUUUCCCCCCCUCACAAAGCCUUUAAUGUUAGAUGUUAAUCGAUGAACUGGGGUCAUGUAGAUUAUUAUCCAUUAGUGUGCAAUUGAUUUCUCCAAAUCUGUUACGAUGAAGAAACAAAAUCAACCACAUACUGGAUGGCCUGAGGGCGAGUACAUUUUCCAGCAAUUUUUCAUUUUUGGGGCCAAAUAAUACUUUAAGGGUCAUCAGAUCAUACAUACACAUACAUUAUCAUUUGCCAUGAUGUAUGUGGUCCAGUGCCACAAUGGAACUAUUUAUUGCAAAAGAUAUUGCACAUUUCUAUACAGAAACAAAAGAGCAACCUAGAUAAAAAUGCUAGGUUAACUCAAUUUACCUUCUGUGUCCCAGACUUCUGCACUAUAGAGUACAGGACAUGCUGUAUCCAAUUCAUAAUAAUGUGCAAGCUUUAAAAAGUGAUGGAUUGAAAUAUUUCAUAUUGGAGGAAAAAAAAAAAAAGUGGUUUAAUGUGAUAUUGAAAUGACACCAGGAAUUAAACGCAGGAUGUGCAGAUAGGACGGGUUCAACAGAUUCCCACCUCAAGACUGUCCAGUGUGUGCUUUGUACUGAUGUAGGAAAGAAACUGGGGUUUGAUUAGUACUUAAUGCACUUGCUCUGAAUGUAAUUACAAUUAUAUGUUUGUCAAUGUCUACAAGUAAAAACACACUUUCUGUACAGCAACAGCAAUGUUUAUUUAUUUGCUAGCUUUUCUGUGAUUGAACUAUUUAGACACAUUCCUUUACCAUAGCAGGAAUGUUUGUAACAGUAUUUACAACAUUAAACAAACUACUGCGA